This 76-nucleotide transfer RNA is filed under the name Aeromonas sp. RNAcentral's name for it is "tRNA-Asn". It matches the Rfam family "tRNA". Rfam says of the family: Transfer RNA (tRNA) molecules are approximately 80 nucleotides in length. The record is from RNAcentral. RNAcentral also lists the same sequence under 22 other names. Lineage: Bacteria; Pseudomonadati; Pseudomonadota; Gammaproteobacteria; Aeromonadales; Aeromonadaceae.
UCCUCCGUAGUUCAGUCGGUAGAACGGCGGACUGUUAAUCCGUAUGUCACUGGUUCGAGUCCAGUCGGAGGAGCCA